This 430-nucleotide ribosomal RNA is filed under the name uncultured bacterium. RNAcentral describes it as "bacterial SSU rRNA". It matches the Rfam family "Bacterial small subunit ribosomal RNA", at positions 355 to 776 of the family's 1533-position model. The record is from RNAcentral.
UGGGGAAUCUUGCGCAAUGGUCGAAAGACUGACGCAGCGACGCCGCGUGGGCGACGAAGGCCUUCGGGUUGUAAAGCCCUGUGGGGAGGGACGAACACGUCCAGGUCGAACAGGCCUGGGCGCUGACGGUACCUCCUUAGCAAGCACCGGCUAACUCUGUGCCAGCAGCCGCGGUAAGACAGAGGGUGCAAACGUUGCUCGGAAUUACUGGGCGUAAAGCGCGUGUAGGCGGCUCUCCCAGUCGGGUGUGAAAGCCCAGGGCUCAACCCUGGAAGUGCACUCGAUACUAGAGAGCUGGAGUCUCGGAGAGGAUAGCGGAAUUCCCGGUGUAGAGGUGAAAUUCGUAGAUAUCGGGAGGAACACCAGUGGCGAAGGCGGCUAUCUGGACGAGAACUGACGCUGAGACGCGAAAGCGUGGGGAGCAAACAGG